ACACUCAGAUAUAAAGGCUCUCAGAUUCUGCAUCAAAUGAAUAAAUUCACUCUUGUAAGCUGUAGUUGGCAAACUGGCAAUUUUGUUCCCCAGGGGACAUCUGGCUAUGUCUGGAGACAUUUUAGGUUGUCACAUCUGUACAAGCCAGGGAUAAUAAACAUCCUACGAUGAACAGGACAGUGCCCCACAACAAAGAAUUAUCUGGCC
Molecule: long non-coding RNA, 207 nt
Organism: Phyllostomus discolor (pale spear-nosed bat)
Lineage: Eukaryota; Metazoa; Chordata; Mammalia; Chiroptera; Phyllostomidae
Exons: 3
Source: RefSeq, a predicted model, not a curated record